CUUGCCUGCUGUCAUGCAACGUGUCUUUGCUCCUCCUUCACCUUCCGCCAUGAUUGUGAGGCUUCCCCAGCCAUGUGGAAACAUAUUCGCAGAGCACCCACUAGGUGCCAGUAAAUGUAUGAGAAGUCCUGUGGAAUAAGACUGAAGUUGUCCUUGCCUUCAAGCAACUUGCAAUUGCCUAAGAACACAGUUUAAAACCACAAAACUAAGCCUUGGAAAUCACAUGCUGUCAUUUCUGCGAUCGGUCAUAACCAGUCCUGAUUCCAUGUUAGAGGAGACUACAUAAGGACACAGGUACCAGAAGCUGGAUCCACUGACCUGGAAUGCCUGGACUGAAGCAGGAGACUAACCAGCAUGGGCUACAUCAAAAAGGCUGCCAUCUACUUUCUGCUGGGUAGGGGCACCAGAGAGACUUGUCAGAAACUAGAAGGAAGGUAGAGUGCGAAAUCUGAGUGUUAAUUCCCUGGCUUCAUCAAAGGACACUGGUCUUCACAAGGAAACAGACUACAUGAUUCUCCUUUUGGGCUUCAGUAAAAACCCCCUCCUUUCAUCCCUUAGUCUAGGGAUGGUAAGAGGUCAGCAGCUAAGAAUUCUAGGUUCUUUGUGGUUUUCCCGUAUACAUGUCUUUGAUGAUAGCCCCUUUGGAAAUAAAUUCUCCUAGACUUUUUUUUAGGGUGAUUGGGUCAUUGUUUUUUCUCCUGGAACCCUGAGUCCUCAAAUCAACCCUAUCUGAAAUGUGCCAUUAUUGCUACAUUUUAUAAUAGAGGAAGACAGAUGGCUUAUAUAAUUUGAUGAAGAUCACAUGUUUUGUAAGAAGAGCUGGGAUUGGAACUGUAGCAGUCUAGCUUUUCAGAUCAUGCUCUUAAUCACCACAAUAAGUAUCAAUAAGUGUCAAUAAUCACUAUAAUAAGUGGCAUUGUAGCAUAAUGACACUCUACUUAGAGCAAUAGCUUAGUUCAAGUCAUCUUUUCCUAUGAAACUUUCCAUUUAUUUGACUAUUACUGUUUCAUAGAACCUACCCCUCAAGUUUAUUGAGGGUCAUACUUAAAUUUUCUAUGCUUAUGCUCUUUUUUAAUACUCACAGAAAGAGUGUACCUAUCUAGGGGGCAGAGACUACAGGUUCAGUUUUUUAACCCACGGCAAGUAGUCCUAUCCUGAGAACAUGGUACAAAUUUAAUAAAUGUUUGCUGAUUUAUUUAAAA
This 1202-nucleotide long non-coding RNA is filed under the name Homo sapiens (human). RNAcentral's name for it is "novel transcript". Lineage: Eukaryota; Metazoa; Chordata; Mammalia; Primates; Hominidae. The record is from RNAcentral.